This 312-nucleotide unclassified non-coding RNA is filed under the name Hevea brasiliensis (rubber tree). Lineage: Eukaryota; Viridiplantae; Streptophyta; Magnoliopsida; Malpighiales; Euphorbiaceae. The record is from RNAcentral.
CAAAUUCUGCUUAACCCUAAGCAAAUUUGUGCUUGACCCUAAGCAACACCAGAAUCGUUAGUUCAGCAAUUGCUGCAUGCUUUCCUUAAGCUGUACCCUAUGCAAAUUCUGCUUAACCCUAUGCAUUACCCAAAAUCUUUAAUUUCAGCAAUUGCUACAUGCUUAACCUAAGCAACUACCCUAUGUAAGUCAUGCUUAACCUUAAGUAAUUUUGUGCUUACCCCAGCAAAAUGCCUUGUGCCACUAGUAGACCCACCAGCAGCAAGCUGAACAACAGUAAAGCUUUGACAGCAGAGCUUGAAUAGUAGCAGC